Rattus norvegicus (Norway rat) is the source of this 385-nucleotide long non-coding RNA. RefSeq lists it as uncharacterized. NCBI's taxonomy places the organism in Eukaryota, Metazoa, Chordata, Mammalia, Rodentia, Muridae. The record is from RefSeq and is a predicted model, not a curated record.
GGCUCUUUGCCGACGUCACUUCCGCUCACUGGCCUGCGGCCGAGUGGAGCUCCGCCCCCCAGCACGUGGUUGAGCCGCGCGAGGAAGGCGGGACCCAGAGACCCUCGGGAGCCGGUGGGACCCAGAAUCAGAUCAAUUUAUAAAAAUACAAGAUGCUCGUGGAAGGACUGAGCUGCCUCCAGUUUCCUCAAAAGGCUAGGAAACAAAGCAGUUCUGGUCAUCCAUCAACUAACCUACGAGGUCCAGGGCCUGCUGUGUGGAAACUCCAGGGCUGAGACAGCUCCCCAGUCUUCAGGAAAAAGCAACUGCCAAAUGGAUUCCCUGAGCAGCACUGGUGACCUCAUCAGCUCUUUUGGAAGACAAUAAAUCCCAUUUUUUUUAAAAA